UUUAUAUUUAGGAGUCCACCCAGGCGUGCGUCAGAUCAGCCCUGUCAACAUCACGAGAAAGACAACUUGGACACAUUUGAAAGAACUUACAGAAAUUGACUUUUUAUGGUGACUUUUAAAAGGUGAAAAGAGGACAGGAGAUACAAAAGAGAAAAAAAAAACAGAAGUGGGACUGAAGAAGAGAGGAAUAUUAAAGAAAAAAGAAGACUCUAAACGUCUGAAGGCGCUUGACAAAGGCCUGCAGGAGACCAGCCAUGGAGGAAGAUUUCAAGAGACCACCGCCAUCCUAUGAAGACGUUAUUACCGAGCAGCACACGAGCAACACUAGUCAGAGCCGCUCCGCAGAUAACAAGCAGGGCUGCUGCUGCAGAUGCUGCAUUAGCACCAAGAACUGUCUGAUGAGUCCGGAGUGCGGUCGAGCUCUUAACAUCGCCAGCGUGGUUGCCAUGUGUGGCAUGUGUAUCCGGAUGUUUGUCUAACGCAGUCUCCUUGUGGACCAUUUAUUCCAGAUCUCUCAUCCAGUGGUGGCCUUCUCAAAUUAAAAAGGAAAGAAAGACAUUUGCUCUGUUCCAAAACCUAGUGAUCUCCAACAUUUAUGAGCUUUCCCCCAUUACGAAUCCCAAAGCUGUUCCAAAUAGGAUGCAGCACUGCAUUUAUCAUUCACAGAUAAGGUAAUCCCAGAACGAACUGACUAAAAUAUCCAUUUCAAAAAGGAAACGUCAAUUGCAAAGUAUAACUUAUAAACACAAAGUAUAUUUAAUUCAGUACUGACAAACAUCAUUGAAAAACACUGCCGUGUCAUACAAUCUAGUCUCUUAUGUGAUUUAUGGGCCUCAUUCAUGAAAAAAGUAGCACAAUAAAUUCAUAAAUCUUUUGUGAAAUCAUUAAGUGUGGCAUUUAAUUAAAUUGGCAUGAGUGACCACUUAAGGUGCGGUCACAUUUAUCAUUGUUAGAUGAACUAGACAAGUCAUUUCAAUAGGGAUCCAAGUUGUAAGGAGUUGUCUUGAGAGCAGAAGAUUUCCCCAGGCAGAUUUCAGUUCAAGUUGGUAACGCAAAUUCAUCAUGUUUGACCAACGGAAAGCUGUUUUAUUUUGAAAAUUAAUUCUGCAUGAGCUGACAACAGGCAAUGACAAUUUUGUCUGCAAAAUGUUGCUAAUGUGACUGUACCUUCCUAGUAUCUAAUUCCAUUUUGAAAGACAGUAGUGUUAAUAUAUUUGUACUAAUAUGUUCUCUAUAAUCCAAGACACCUUUGUUUAUGUAGAACUUUAGUACUAAACAGAAAAAAAAAAAACAGAAUCAGUGAUGCAAACUUCAAAAAACACGAGGCAAUCCCAAUUUUGCUGUAAAGCAUCUCUAACAAGACACUCCAGAACCUAAAAUAGUUGCAGUCAUUUGGAAAUGUUAAUUAAGCUCAUCAUUUUUUUUUUCUUUCAUAAAUUGGAGCCAGUCAUGUAAUUGGAUGUGGCAUCCACCUUAAUUAUGCAUCAGGCUAUCAAAACUUUGCAUUUAUCAUUAACAUUUCUGCUAAGACUUCUUGUGAGACAAUCUAAUUUAUAAUACUUUAUAAUGUUUCAAAUGAUGUGCACUAGACAGACAAGCUAAUAAAUCACAAUGCUUGAUUAUUUUCCGAAUUGUGGUGGAUUGUUUUGCUUUAAGACUAUAAAAUGUUAAACCUGUUGACUGCUAAUGUGUAAAUAA
Long non-coding RNA from Carassius gibelio (silver crucian carp), 1698 nucleotides. RefSeq lists it as uncharacterized. NCBI's taxonomy places the organism in Eukaryota, Metazoa, Chordata, Actinopteri, Cypriniformes, Cyprinidae. The record is from RefSeq and is a predicted model, not a curated record. The transcript has 4 exons.